GUGGGUACAGGCAAAGGGGGAGUGUGUGUGCGUGGGCGCGCGCGCGCCAGGGCGCGCGGCCCGGGGGAGGGGCCUCGCGGGGGGUGGGGAGGGCGGAGAUUGACUGACAACUUCCGCGGGGUCCCGCCGGCCUCUCCGAUGCUCGGCAGGGAGUAGGGGGUGGGAAAGCAUGCCAGCUCCCUCAGCCAAUCGCAGGGCUCAGCGGCGGGCCGGAGCGAGGCGUGGCCUCCUGGAAGGUCUGUCAAGCUGGCGGGGUUAGGCAGGGGGAAUGGGGCGUGGUUGUGUGACGGACUUCGGCCACAGCCAAUCGUAAGUGAAGACGGCGAGCGGACCGCCGCUGGCGUCACAGCAGCCUAAUAAAUUCUCUUUGGGUGGAGGGGAAGAGCCCCUCCACCAGCGAGCACCUUUGCACGCCUGCGCUGCCGCUCCAGGCUACAAUUGCUCUCUGAACAGCCUAUGAGAAGACCAGAAAACUAGACGGGGGUAGUUUAGAGAGCGAAAUAGAAUGCCCCUUCCAUUCCCUCUCUGCUGGCCAAUGAGGCACUGAAGCGGCAGUGAGGACUGGGGCGGGAAAGAGUGCCAGGUGUUACGUCACUGGAAAGGGGCGGAGCAAAGGUCAGGCGGAGGAACGAGCAGUGGAUUGACGGGCGAAGGAGCCCGGGGGAAAGCGAGGAAGUGAGUUCGUCCAAUCGGAGCGAGAUGCACUGAAUGGUGAAAUUGCACACUAUCGCCCUGUCAAAGAGGUUCAAACCUCAGCAGUGUCUUUGAGACCUUUCUGUUUCUCAUCCAGUCACGUUCCAGACCGUAUUGAACCUGCCUUCACAAGCAUUCAGACCUGGCCUUCUUCACAGUCUGCACAACUGACCGCUAAACAGAGUUCAGGGCUUUCAGCUUCACUGCCAGAUUUGUGACCUCCUUGAGGGCACGGGCUACGCCUCAGGUUCCAUUGUGCCUCCGCAGUGCCUGGUGCAGGUGCCUGCAGGUGUCCAGAAAUCUCACCAAGGAGGAGACCCAGAGAAACUGCGGGCCUGGAAGGCAGCAGGGGCUACCAGGUAAAGGCAGGCAAUGCUGGUUUUGCAAUCUGACUUUCUUUUUCCUAGUUGUGGGACUAGCACCAGUGACACACCUUGGCAUUCCCAGACUUUAUUUUCAUUGUGCAGCUGUCUGAUUGGGUGGUUCCCCACAAUAAAGAGGAAACGAAUGAUGACUAUAAAAUUGAGUUCAUAAAACGAAUGACUAUAAAACCGAGUUAUACUUUACACAGAUUCUUUAUCAUCAUCAUCAUCAUCAUCGUCAUCAAGUACUAAUUGAU
Molecule: long non-coding RNA, 1312 nt
Filed under: Equus asinus (donkey)
Lineage: Eukaryota; Metazoa; Chordata; Mammalia; Perissodactyla; Equidae
Description: lncRNA (ENSEASG00005032889.1)
Source: RNAcentral